Molecule: long non-coding RNA, 333 nt
Organism: Oreochromis aureus
Lineage: Eukaryota; Metazoa; Chordata; Actinopteri; Cichliformes; Cichlidae
Source: Ensembl
GAUGAGAGUGAAUACCCUUUGAGGGAAACUCAGACUUAUCUUGCAGAGGACCUUUUGAAUCGCAGCCCAACUGAGUAUGACUUCUCUGUACAUGCCAAAAACUAUGGAUCACAGGAAUUGUGUGAUAACUACACUGCUCAAAAAAAUUAAAGGAACACUUAAUCAGAGUAUAGCAACAAAUCAGAGAAACAUCUGAGAUAUUGAUCUGGUCAGUCAAAUAGCAGAGGGGCGCGGGGGGUCUGGGGGGGUGUCUGUUGGCCAGUUUCAGCUUCUUCGAUGUUAAUGAAAUUAACAAUAGGUGCAAUACAGGAACAACAAUGAGACAAUCCCCCA